UGAGGAAUAUUGCGCAAUGGGCGAAAGCCUGACGCAGCGACGCCGCGUGGAGGACGAAGGUCUUCGGAUCGUAAACUCCUGUCGAGCGGGACGAAGCCGGGGCGGUGAAUAGCCGCUUCGGUUGACGGUACCGCUAAAGGAAGCCCCGGCUAACUCCGUGCCAGCAGCCGCGGUAAUACGGAGGGGGCCAGCGUUGUUCGGAAUCAUUGGGCGUAAAGGGCGCGUAGGCGGCUUGGUAAGUCCGUUGUGAAAUCCCUCGGCUCAACCGAGGAACUGCGACGGAUACUGCUUGGCUUGAGUCCCGGAGAGGGUAGCGGAAUUCCCAGUGUAGCGGUGAAAUGCGUAGAUAUUGGGAGGACAUCGGUGGCGAAGGCGGCUACCUGGACGGGUACUGACGCUGAGGCGCGAAAGCUAGGGGAGCAAACAGGAUUAGAUACCCUGGUAGUCCUAGCUGUAACGAUGGGCACUUGGUGUUGCGGGUAUCGACCCCUGCAGUG
Molecule: ribosomal RNA, 497 nt
Filed under: uncultured Acidobacteriota bacterium
Lineage: Bacteria; Pseudomonadati; Acidobacteriota
Description: bacterial SSU rRNA
Rfam family: Bacterial small subunit ribosomal RNA
Source: RNAcentral